Syngnathus acus (greater pipefish) is the source of this 1003-nucleotide long non-coding RNA. RefSeq lists it as uncharacterized. The transcript is spliced from 2 exons. NCBI's taxonomy places the organism in Eukaryota, Metazoa, Chordata, Actinopteri, Syngnathiformes, Syngnathidae. The record is from RefSeq and is a predicted model, not a curated record.
GUGGCGGAAUGCCGAAGAACCAUCUGCUCCGGAAAGGAAAGCAGCUUUUAUCAGGGGACCUUUAAUCAAUAGAAACAAUUAGUACUAGGGUACUUCCUAUAUACAGUACAUCUUCCAAUGUGUCAUAAGAAAAACUAUUAUAGGAACCAUUAAUAGAGUGACAGAAGAGAUUUUAGGCAAAUAAAAAUGGGGAAAAAGUAGAGGCCCUACACAUGAGCCUUGGGGUACUCCACUCUCAAUGAUUACAAAACCUUACUGGUCGAUGUGGUCAGUGGUAAGUCCGGUCCUAGAAAGCCGCUGUCCUACUUGUUUUCGAAGUUUUCCUUCUUCACACACCUGAUUGAAAUGAUCAGAUUCGUUAUCAAGCUUGCUGAUUAUUUGAAUCAGGUCUGCUCCAGCAGGGAGACCUGAAAAACAGUCAGGACAGCGUCUCCCUAGGACCGGACUUGGUCUAUGGGAUAGACCAACAGAUCAAUUCCUUACCUCUGGACGAUGUCGCUCGUCUUGUCAGGCCGCCGACUUUUCAUAGCACUCUAAGAAACGAGAGAGUAGAAUGAAAAAUUGAGACUGACUCAGGUGCUGAAAGCAGAGCACGCAGGUUUUCUCACUGCCUGUUCUUGUUGCUAGGAAACGUCUUGUAACGAACAUGCAGCCUUUUCUAAUCGCUAAAGCUUAUUAAGCUUCUUUCUACGCACUGCCUGAUUAUAUGCCCGUGAUGUUUAUGUGUUUUGGUGCCUUGAUGAAAGGUUACGCAAUCAAUGCCAAGUCAGGGUUAUAUUAUGUACGUGUGUCUUUGACGUUUUGGAGACCUUACUUGAUUUGGGGUCCCCAUAACGUCUAUCUUAUAUUGAGCGGGUUAGGAAGUCAUCAGUGGUAAGCACUUGUGACGUCUUUUUCCCUGACAAUUGAUGCUCUGUAAUACCCUUGAUGAUGCUCUCGUCCACUUGAGUAUUAAUAAUGUCAAGCCAGUGCCGCCUACGUGGAGAGCAGAACGAAAAAAAAA